UCGGGAAUUUUGGGCAAUGGGGGAAACCCUGACCCAGCAACGCCGCGUGAAGGGUGAAGUAUUUCGGUAUGUAAACUUCGAAAGAAUAGGAAGAAUAAAUGACGGUACUAUUUAUGAGGUCCGGCUAACUACGUGCCAGCAGCCGCGGUAAUACGUAGGGACCAAGCGUUGUUCGGAUUUACUGGGCGUAAAGGGCGCGUAGGCGGCAUGACAAGUCACUUGUGAAAUCUCUGGGCUUAACCCAGAACGGCCAAGUGAUACUGUCGCGCUAGAGUGCAGAAGGGGCAAUCGGAAUUCUUGGUGUAGCGGUGAAAUGCGUAGAUAUCAAGAGGAACACCUGAGGUGAAGACGGGUUGCUGGGCUGACACUGACGCUGAGGCGCGAAAGCCAGGGGAGCAAACGGGAUUAGAUACCCGAGUAGUCCCUGAGCGGGCUGGCAAGGCGCAU
This 447-nucleotide ribosomal RNA is filed under the name uncultured bacterium. Its description in RNAcentral is "bacterial SSU rRNA". It matches the Rfam family "Bacterial small subunit ribosomal RNA", at positions 355 to 825 of the family's 1533-position model. The record is from RNAcentral.